This is a long non-coding RNA of Cyprinus carpio carpio, 1138 nucleotides long. NCBI's taxonomy places the organism in Eukaryota, Metazoa, Chordata, Actinopteri, Cypriniformes, Cyprinidae. The record is from Ensembl.
CACACACAAACAACACCUCAACUAAACUUACCAGUCGCACACACCUGGGCGACACAGACCUAAGUCGUAUACCCCUGGAUUAAAAUAAAAUGAUAAAUCAUUCACAUUUAAAUCAUCAUCAAACUUACAUAUACACUGUACACAAAGACGUACAUGUUUGUUGCACACAAUCACCUAGGCCGCACUGAAAAAAAAAAUCACAUACUCCUUGCUAAGAAUACAAUUAUACAUAUUUUAAUAAGCAAUAAUCAUUCUCAUUGUAUACAUAGAGGUGCAACCAUGUUCGUCAUAAAAAAGUGACACAGUCGAGCACAGACACAGUCACACAAAACUCAAAAGAUGUUCUCUCUAAUACAGUUGUAUGAUCGUGUCUUGUCUAAUCCUGGUUGUCAUCCCUUAUCCUGUCUAACCCCAAGUUACCCACACAGAACGUCGCCCUCUUGUGGAGAACCCCGUCACUGCCUUGCGAUUCUAUGCUCCGGCAUUUGAUCCGAGCGCUUUCCAACAAACACACACACAAACACAGCACCUCAACUGAUCUUACCAGUCACACACACCUGUGUCUACCCAUCUAUCUUCUCCAGGAAAUAACCCUUGGCUUCUCAGUCGCCCUCUCCUGGAUAAAACUGUGAAUAGCCAUGUGUUCGAAAUUGCUAAGGAUUCCAACAUUUUAGCAGAAAAUUACACUCCAGAGGGAGCUCUUGAGCGGCUGACUUUAUUCAAAGACAUCUUUCAAGUCUAACUUCUAAUGAUGCACUCUCUCUCUCUCACAAACACACACACACAAACACACACUCCUGUGCACACUCACACACACACACACACACACACACACACACACACACACACACACACACACACACAAACUGUCUGGAAAACUGUUUUUAUACAGGCUUGUAAUACCUUCUUGCUAAAAAGACCAUUGAUUUCACAGGUUAUUUCAUUUGGAUGUAUUUUUUGCCUUUACCGAUGACUGACUUCCUUUUUGUCACACUUUAGACUGUUGUACGGUCACAUUGGAUUUGAAAGAAACAUCCUUUCUUCCAUACAUCCACGCUGCCUGAAAGACGACAGCUUCCUGAAUCCAACGAUACCAGUUAUGUGAACAUCGGACCUCCGCUUCAAAAGAUACGGCCAG